UGCUCUAGGUACAGAUGAAUUUGGAGUCUAUGGGGCCUGAAGCUUACAGUUGGGUUGCCAGGGCAGGGGAUCCUUUUUAAGAAAAUAGUACAAAAUUAGGUAGACCCUUGGAAGGGGCCUAUGCAAGUGAGGGACCUGGAAGCUUAAGCUUCAGAAAGAGAUAUGUGUGGAGAGGAACAUAAAAUAGGAUGAGGAGAUAUAGCAUAAAGGAGGGGGAGACUGCUCUAGACUGGGGUCCUCAGGGAAGAUUGACUUCUGAGCUGCAAACCAAAUGACAAGGAACUGGCCAGGGGGCCAUCUGUGUGAAGAGCAUUCUGAGCAGAAGGAACAGCACAUGCAAAGGCCCUGAGGCUAAAACAGGCUUGGAAUGCCAGGACCCGGAGAAGAUCAGUGUACCCAGAGUAUGAGCACUUGGGAAACCAAGGGCUGAUCUGUACCUGCACUGCUGGACUUCAUGGGUCUGGACGGCUUCGGAAAUCCCAGGUCAAACCCGUUUCAUAUAGACAGCCUCAAGGUGCCCUGAGCAACCCCCAAGGACCCCGGGAGUGAGCACCCUUGUUUCCAGCAUAUCCGACAGCCAUGUUUGAGGUGGAAGGGAACGAAGCCCUCUGAGCAAACACCCUGCUACGGUCUGGCUGGGACAGCGGCGGCCAUGCCCGCUCCUCGGUCUUCAGAUGACUGAUGUCCAUGGGAACCUCUAAGAUGCUCCAGCCUCCAGCGGGAAGCCUGCCACUCAGGAGGAGAGGAAGAAGGAGUCGUAUUGCUGCAGGUGGCUCAUAAACAGGUCUGCCCUGUGGUGAAGGGGGAGGGAGACUGGAGUGGGAAGAGAGUCUUCAAGCCAGGGAAGGAGGGGGCAGUGGGGGCCUGUGGAGCUGGAGCAGCAGGGGGAUGCAGUCAGGGCCGGGAAGCCUUGGGCUUUCCACCCCCACCGCGCCCCAGAGGAAUCCGCAGGGAUUAAGGGCCUCCCUGGACAAGGCCAGGACAACAUCCCUGCAUGCCUUGGAAUCUAAAGCAAGAAACCAAUCAAUGUGGUAGCCCACCUGCUUGGGUCUUGGGAACGGGAGGACCAGGUGGGGAAGAGCUGGUCUCCUCUCCUGUGGUGUCUGCUGCCAGAGAGGACUGGGUUGUAGCAGUGUGUGUGAGACAUCCGAACAAUGGGCUUGGGGCCAGGCCAGAGUGAUUCUUGCUGGGCCAGGAGGAAAAUAUUUGCUCACAGUUCAGGUAAUGAGAGAGUCAAGCUGGAAAAGGGGAGGUAGAAAAGCACCUUGAUAAACUUGAGGAACUGGUUAACUACUAAUCGGAUCCCAGCAGGCCUGCCUUAAGUGGGAACAAAAAACAGCUGGGGCGGUCCUGGGGAUUCCCAGAAAAAACAACCAGCCGACCAUUAAACAAAGAAACAAUGGAGAGAGACUACAAACAGUGCUUGUGGCCUGGAUACUCGACACCAGUGAUCCUCAACACCAGUCCACCCUGAGACCCUGCCCCCAGUCUACUGAAAAUUAAGGCAGGUAAAGCUAUCUUUGGAGAGAGGGAAGCAGUGAGAGUUGUGUUCAGCUGUCAGUGGAAGGAGACCAAAAGACUGAAAAGGCUAAUGCAGGCAACCUGGGUGGGGCCCCAGGAAGAUAGGAUUGUAAACAGGUAAAAGAAACCUCAUUCUAUCUCUUUUACUUGGUCAACACAAAGCUCUUCUUGGGAUGGGGCAGGACAGUUGGUUGACAAAGAGCCAGAAGGUGGCAGUGUCUACCCAGGGAGGGGCGGUGGGCAGGGCCCCUGGCUGAGAUGUCCCUCUCCAGACCACAGCCAGAGUCACCCAGGUGUGCAGCCCCAUGUCACCCCUUGCCCUGAUCCACACCUGCCAGGUCUUCCUCCCUUGGCCUGGUCCCCGAGUUGGUCUGCCCAUGAGGCAAGGCCAGGCAGGGACAAAGUACCCAGGCAGUGACCUGUGUGCCAGCUGGGCUGACCUUGGACUUUGCGAUCUAAAUAAAAUCUCUUCCCACUCCCAUCCCACAGGAGGUAGGGCGCCUAGCAUCCUCCUCACUGUUUCCAGGGUUCAAGAUGGCUUGUUUUCCAGUCCCCCUGGCUGGAGUCCUGCACCACUGACCUCCCAAGCCCCUUCCUCACUUCCCUCUGUUGUGCACCCAUCCUGGACUUGGAGUCAGUCUUUUAUCUAUGAUUUGUCCUUACACAAGACAUAGAUUGGGGCAAUAGAGGAGGAUACUUGGCAGGAAAACAAACAGUUCAACAUGAAAUAUUACUGAUCCUGGGCUAAAAAGUUCUUUGGUAUAAAAAUCCCAAUGAUGUUUCUUGCAGAAAGAGAAAAAUCCAUCCUAAAAUUCAUAUAGAAUCUCAAGAGGCCCUGAAUAGCCAAACAAUCUUUAAAAGAAGAACAAAGUUGAAGGUCUCACACUUUCUGAUUUCAAAACUUACUAUAAAGCUCCAGAAUCAAAACAGCAUGUGGCUAGCAUAAAGACGUAAGCCAAAGAAAUAGAAAAGAGAACUCAGAAAUAAGUUUCUCGUAUUGAGAGUCAAAUGAUCUUCAACAAGUGUGCCAAGACCAAUCAAUAGGGAAAGGACAGCCUUUUCAACAGCUGAGGCUGGGAAAAUUGGAUUUCCACAUGCAAAUGAAAAGUUGGACCCUUACUAACACCAUAUACAAAAAUUUACUCAAAAUGGAUCAAAGACCUAAACGCAAGAGCUAAAACUACAAAACUCAGAAUGAAACAUAUGAGGACAGCUCCAUGACGUUGGAUGUGGUUUAUAUAUGGUUUCUUGGAUAUGACAGACAACAAAAUUAAAAAUAGACAAGUUGAACGAUGUCAAAAUUUAAAACUUCUGUGCAUUUAAGGAGACAAUCAACAGAGUGAAAAGGCAACCCACAGAAAGGAAGAAAAUAUUUAGAAAUCAUAGAUCUGAUAUAGGGUUAAUGACCAAAGAAUAUAACUCCUACAACUCAACAACAGAAAAACAAACAUCUGAUUUUAAAAUGGGCAAAUGAUUUGAGUAGACGUUUUGUCCAAAGAGGAUGUUUAAAUGGCUGAUAAGCACAUACAAAGUUGAUCAACAUCUCUAAUCACUAGGAAAAUGCAAGUUAAUACCACUUCAAAAAAAAACACCACUUCACAUACAUUAGGAUGGCUACUAUUUUUAAAAAAAGAAUAAAUAUUGGUGAAGAGGUGGAGAAAUUAGAAUUCUUUUUUUUUAAUUUAUUGAGUAUUCGAGGAUGUACAAUAUUAUAUAAUUUUCAGGUGUACAAAAUAGUGAUUCACAAUUUUUAAAAGUUAUAUUCCAUUUGUAGCCAAUUUACAUUCCCACCAACAGUGUACAUGGAUUCCCUUUUCUUCACAUCCUCACCAACAUUUGUAGUUUAUGUCUUUUGAUGAUACCAUUCUGACAGGUAUGAGGUGAUAUCUCAUUGUGGUUUUAAUUUGCAGUUCUCUGGUGAUUAAUAAUGUUGAGCAUCUUUUGUUGUGCCUCUUGGCCAUCUGUAUGCCUUCUUUGGGAAAAUAUCUAUUCAUGUCUUCUGCCUAUUUUUCAGUUGGGUUAUUUGGGGUUUUUUAAUGUUGAGUUGUAUAAGCUCUUUAUAUAUUUUUUUUUAUAUUGACCACUACCAGUCAUAUCAUUUGCAAAUAUUUUCUCCCACUCAAUAGGUUGUCUUUUCAGAAAAUGGAACUCUUUUACACUAUUGGUGAGAAUGUAAAAUGGUACAGCCACUGUAGAAAAUAGUAUGGCAAUUUCUCAAAAAUUAAAAAUAGAAUUACCGUAUAACCCAGCAAUUCCACUUCUGGGUGGAUACCUGAAAGAAUUGAAAGCAAGAUUUCAAAGAGAUACUUGUAUGCCCAUAUUCAUAGCAGCACUCAUCACAAUAGCCAAAAAAUGGAAGCAACCCAAGUGUCUACUAGUGGAGGAAUGGAUAAACAAAAUGUGGUUAAAAAUACAGUAGAAUGUUACUCAGCCUUAAAAAGGAAGAAAAUUCUGACACAUGCUAUAUCGUGGAUUAACCUUGAGGGCGUUAUGCUAAGUGAAAUAAGCCAGACACUAAAGGACAAAUAUAGUGUGUUUCCACUUAUAUGAGGUACCCAGAGGAGUCAAAUGCAAAGAGACAAAGUAAAUGGUGGUUGCCUGGGGCCAGGGAAAUGAAGAGAUUUAAUGGGCACUGGGUUUUAGUUUGGGAAGAUGAAAAGAAUUCUGAAGAUGGAUGGUGGUGAUGAUUACACAACAAGGAGAAUGUACUUAAUGCCACUGAACUGUACACCUAGAAAUGGUUAAGAUGGUAAAUUUUAUGUUAUGUGUAUUUUA
Long non-coding RNA from Camelus dromedarius (Arabian camel), 4296 nucleotides. RefSeq lists it as uncharacterized. The record is from RefSeq and is a predicted model, not a curated record. The transcript is spliced from 2 exons. NCBI's taxonomy places the organism in Eukaryota, Metazoa, Chordata, Mammalia, Artiodactyla, Camelidae.